GAUUGAACGCUGGCGGCAGGCUUAACACAUGCAAGUCGAACGGUAACAGGAGAAAGCUUGCUUUCUUGCUGACGAGUGGCGGACGGGUGAGUAAUGCUUGGGAAUCUGGCUUAUGGAGGGGGAUAACGACGGGAAACUGUCGCUAAUACCGCGUAGURUCGAGAGAUGAAAGUGCGGGACCGCAAGGCCGCAUGCCAUAGGAUGAGCCCAAGUGGGAUUAGGUAGUUGGUGGGGUAAAGGCCUACCAAGCCGACGAUCUCUAGCUGGUCUGAGAGGAUGACCAGCCACACCGGGACUGAGACACGGCCCGGACUCCUACGGGAGGCAGCAGUGGGGAAUAUUGCGCAAUGGGGGCAACCCUGACGCAGCCAUGCCGCGUGAAUGAAGAAGGCCUUCGGGUUGUAAAGUUCUUUCGGUAUUGAGGAAGGUUGUUGUGUUAAUAGCACGACAAAUUGACGUUAAAUACAGAAGAAGCACCGGCUAACUCCGU
RNAcentral lists this ribosomal RNA (490 nucleotides) under Aggregatibacter sp. 'ARUP UnID 112'. Its description in RNAcentral is "bacterial SSU rRNA". It matches the Rfam family "Bacterial small subunit ribosomal RNA", at positions 27 to 506 of the family's 1533-position model. Lineage: Bacteria; Pseudomonadati; Pseudomonadota; Gammaproteobacteria; Pasteurellales; Pasteurellaceae. The record is from RNAcentral.